GACGAACGCUGGCGGCGUGCUUAACACAUGCAAGUCGAACGGAAAGGCCUGCUUUCCCUUGUGGAUUGCGGGUACUCGAGUGGCGAACGGGUGAGUAACACGUGAGUGAUCUGCCCCCAACUUGGGUAUAAGCCUGGGAAACUGGGUCUAAUUCCCGAUAGGACUGCAGGGUGGUGCCUGUGGUGGAAAACGAUUUUCUAGUGGUUGGGGAUGAGCUCGCGGCCUAUCAGCUUGUUGGUGGGGUAAUGGCCGACCAAGGCGGCGACGGGUAGCCGGCCUGAGAGGGUGGACGGCCACAUUGGGCCUGAGAUACGGCCCAGACUCCGACGGGAGGCAGCAGUGGGGAAUAUGGCACAAUGGGCGGAAGCCUGAUGCAGCGACGCCGCGUGGGGGAUGACGGCCUUCGGGUUGUAAACUCCUUUCGACCGCGAGGAAGCCACCUGGUUGGAAGGGUGGUGACGGUAGUGGUAGAAGAAGCACCGGCUAACUACGUG
This 494-nucleotide ribosomal RNA is filed under the name uncultured bacterium. RNAcentral describes it as "partial 16S ribosomal RNA". It matches the Rfam family "Bacterial small subunit ribosomal RNA", at positions 28 to 507 of the family's 1533-position model. The record is from RNAcentral.